Molecule: ribosomal RNA, 1505 nt
Filed under: bacterium
Lineage: Bacteria
Description: bacterial SSU rRNA
Rfam family: Bacterial small subunit ribosomal RNA
Source: RNAcentral
UUGAGAGUUUGAUCCUGGCUCAGGAUGAAUGCUGGCGGCGUGCCUUAAGCAUGCAAGUCGAACGAUUGAAGUUUUUGUAGCAAUACAGAAGCUGAUCUAGUGGCGGACGGGUGAGUAAUACGUGGGAAUCUACCUCUUGGCGGGGGAUAGCUCGCCGAAAGGCGGGGUAAUACCGCAUAAAUAUCUACGGAUCAAAGGUCUUAACCGACCACCGAGAGAGGAGCCUGCGUCCCAUCAGCUAGUUGGUAGGGUAAUGGCCUACCAAGGCUAUGACGGGUAGGGGAUGUGAGAGCAUGAUCCCCCACAAGGACACUGAGACACGGGUCCUACAUCUACGGAUGGCAGCAACUGGGAAUCUUGCGCAAUGGACGAAAGUCUGACGCAGCGACGCCGCGUGUAGGAAGAAGGCCUUCGGGUCGUAAACUACUGUGGAGAGGGAAUAACAAAUGAAGGUACCUUUCUAGAAAGCACCUGCUAACCACGUGCCAGAAGCCUCGGUAAUACGUGGGGUGCAAGCAUUAUCCGGAUUUACUGGGCGUAAAGAGUGCCGUAGGCGGCUAGGCAAGUAUACGGUUAAAGGUUCUGGCUCAACCAGAAACAUGCUGUAUAAACUACCUGGCUUGAAGAUUGUAGGGAAUAUCGGAAUUCUCGGUGGAGGGGUGAAAUCCGUUGAUAUCGAGAAGAACACCAAUGGCGAAGGCAGAUAUUUAUACAAUUCUUGACGCUGAUGGACGAAAGCUAGGGGAGCGAAAGGGAUUAGAGACCCCUGUAGUCCUAGCCGUAAACGAUGGAUACUAGCUGGUUGCCGUAAGGUGGCUGGCGUAAGCUAACGCGUUAAGUAUCCCGCCUGGGAAGUACGGCCGCAAGGCUAAAACUCAAAGGAAUUGACGGGGGAGCGCACAACCGGUGGAGCAUGUGGUUUAAUUCGAUACGAAGCGAAAAACCUCACCUGGGUUUGAAAUGUAACUGCAAGUCCUACGAAAGUAGGAUUCCUUCGAGGGUGUUGCACAGCUGUUGCAUGGCUGUCGUCAGUUCGUGUCGUGAGGCGUUUCUUUAAGUAGAAUAACGAACGCAACCCCUAUGCUGUGUUGUAUGUUCACAGCAGACUGCCCUUGAUAGUAUCAAGGGAGGAAGGAGGGGACGACGUCAAGUCAGCAUGACGCUUACAUCCAGGGCCACACACAUCCUACAAUGGACACUAACAAUGGGUCGCCAACCCGCAAGGGGGAGCCAAUCCCACCAAACGUGUCCUCAGUUCAGAUUGGGGGCUGCAACUCGCCCCCAUGAAGUCGGAAUCGGUAGUAAUCGCAAAUCAGCAGGUUGCGGUGAAUACGUUCUCGCUCCUUGUACACACCGCCCGUCAAGUAAGCAAAGUUGGCAAUGCCUGAAGUCGGUGUUCUUAACCCCGCAAGGGGAAAGACCCGCCUAAGGUAAGGUCAGCGAUGAGUGCUAAGUCGUAACAAGGUAUCCGUUCUGGAAGGAGCGGAUGGAUCACCUCCUUUCUA